AGUGAACGCUGGCGGCAGGCCUAACACAUGCAAGUCGAGCGGCAGCGGGUCCCCGCGAGGGGAUGCCGGCGAGCGGCGGACGGGUGAGGAACACAUCGGAAUCUGCCUGGUUGUGGGGGAUAACGUAGGGAAACUUACGCUAAUACCGCAUGAGACCCUGAGUCGACGGACUGGGGGUGAAAGUGAGGGACCUUCGGGCCUCACGCGACCAGAUGAGCCGAUGUCGGAUUAGCUAGUUGGCGGGGUAACGGCCCGCCAAGGCGACGAUCCGUAGCUGGUCUGAGAGGAUGAUCAGCCACACUGGGACUGAGACACGGCCCAGACUCCUACGGGAGGCAGCAGUGGGAAUCUUGCGCAAUGGGCGAAAGCCUGACGCAGCGACGCCGCGUGAGGGAUGACGGC
This 402-nucleotide ribosomal RNA is filed under the name uncultured bacterium. Its description in RNAcentral is "bacterial SSU rRNA". It matches the Rfam family "Bacterial small subunit ribosomal RNA", at positions 30 to 415 of the family's 1533-position model. The record is from RNAcentral.